RNAcentral lists this ribosomal RNA (151 nucleotides) under Hematodinium sp. ex Callinectes sapidus. Its description in RNAcentral is "5.8S ribosomal RNA". It matches the Rfam family "5.8S ribosomal RNA". From Rfam's summary of the family: 5.8S ribosomal RNA (5.8S rRNA) is a component of the large subunit of the eukaryotic ribosome. It is transcribed by RNA polymerase I as part of the 45S precursor that also contains 18S and 28S rRNA. The record is from RNAcentral. Lineage: Eukaryota; Dinophyceae; Syndiniales; Syndiniaceae.
AUUUUAGCGAUGAAUGCCUCGGCUCGGGUUACGAUGAAGGACGCAGCGAAUUGCGAUAAGCAAUGCGAAUUGCAGAAUUCCGUGAAUCAUCAGAUUUUUGAACGUACUCUACGCUCUCGGGUAUCCCUGGGAGCAUGUCUGGUCUCAGCGU